This 497-nucleotide ribosomal RNA is filed under the name uncultured bacterium. RNAcentral's name for it is "partial 16S ribosomal RNA". It matches the Rfam family "Bacterial small subunit ribosomal RNA", at positions 28 to 507 of the family's 1533-position model. The record is from RNAcentral.
GAUGAACGCUGGCGGCGUGCCUAAUACAUGCAAGUCGAGCGAACAGACGAGGAGCUUGCUCCUCUGACGUUAGCGGCGGACAGGUGAGUAACACGUGGAUAACCUACCUAUGAGACUGGGAUAACUUCGGGAAACCGGAGCUAAUACCGGAUAAUAUAUUGAACCGCAUGGUUCAAUAGUGAAAGACGGUUUUGCUGUCACUUAUAGAUGGAUCCGCGCCGCAUUAGCUAGUUGGUAAGGUAACGGCUUACCAAGGCGACGAUGCGUAGCCGACCUGAGAGGGUGAUCGGCCACACUGGAACUGAGACACGGUCCAGACUCCUACGGGAGGCAGCAGUAGGGAAUCUUCCGCAAUGGGCGAAAGCCUGACGGAGCAACGCCGCGUGAGUGAUGAAGGUCUUCGGAUCGUAAAACUCUGUUAUUAGGGAAGAACAAAUGUGUAAGUAACUAUGCACGUCUUGACGGUACCUAAUCAGAAAGCCACGGCUAACUACGUG